GGGCACAAAGCUAAAGAUUGUUAUAUUUUAGCGACAGAAUAUGAAAUGGGAAUUUGGUGUAAAUCCAAAACUGUACCCGCAACUGUAAUUAGUCAGCCUACAUCAGCGGCUAAAAGUCAGAUACCAACGUAAUAUUCAAUUACUCA
Molecule: non-coding RNA, 146 nt
Organism: Aliiglaciecola lipolytica E3
Lineage: Bacteria; Pseudomonadati; Pseudomonadota; Gammaproteobacteria; Alteromonadales; Alteromonadaceae
Source: Rfam